This 378-nucleotide ribosomal RNA is filed under the name uncultured bacterium. RNAcentral describes it as "bacterial SSU rRNA". It matches the Rfam family "Bacterial small subunit ribosomal RNA", at positions 524 to 898 of the family's 1533-position model. The record is from RNAcentral.
UACGUAGGGGGCGAGCGUUGUCCGGAUUUAUUGGGCGUAAAGAGCUCGUAGGCGGUUGGGUAAGUCGGGUGUGAAAACUCAGGGCUCAACUCUGAGACGCCACUCGAUACUGCUCUGACUCGAGUCCGGUAGGGGAGCGUGGAAUUCCCGGUGUAGCGGUGAAAUGCGCAGAUAUCGGGAGGAACACCAGUGGCGAAGGCGGCGCUCUGGGCCGGAACUGACGCUGAGGAGCGAAAGCGUGGGUAGCAAACAGGAUUAGAUACCCUGGUAGUCCACGCCGUAAACGUUGGGCACUAGGUGUGGGGCUCUAUCGACGGGCUCCGUGCCGUAGCUAACGCAUUAAGUGCCCCGCCUGGGGAGUACGGCCGCAAGGCUAAA